GGGUUGUGAGGUUAAGCGACUAAGCGUACACGGUGGAUGCCCUGGCAGUCAGAGGCGAUGAAGGGCGUGCUAAUCUGCGAUAAGCGCCGGUAAGGUGAUAUGAACCGUUAUAACCGGCGAUACCCGAAUGGGGAAACCCAGUGUGACUCGUCACACUAUCAUUAACUGAAUCCAUAGGUUAAUGAGGCGAACCGGGGGAACUGAAACAUCUAAGUACCCCGAGGAAAAGAAAUCAACCGAGAUUCCCCCAGUAGCGGCGAGCGAACGGGGAGGAGCCCAGAGCCUGAAUCAGCAUGUGUGUUAGUGGAAGCGUCUGGAAAGGCGCGCGAUACAGGGUGACAGCCCCGUACACAAAAGCGCAUGUGUUGUGAGCUCGAUGAGUAGGGCGGGACACGUGGUAUCCUGUCUGAAUAUGGGGGGACCAUCCUCCAAGGCUAAAUACUCCUGACUGACCGAUAGUGAACCAGUACCGUGAGGGAAAGGCGAAAAGAACCCCGGCGAGGGGAGUGAAAAAGAACCUGAAACCGU
Molecule: ribosomal RNA, 528 nt
Filed under: Salmonella enterica
Lineage: Bacteria; Pseudomonadati; Pseudomonadota; Gammaproteobacteria; Enterobacterales; Enterobacteriaceae
Also listed under: 4 other names
Description: bacterial LSU rRNA
Rfam family: Bacterial large subunit ribosomal RNA
Source: RNAcentral